RNAcentral lists this ribosomal RNA (253 nucleotides) under uncultured bacterium. RNAcentral describes it as "partial 16S ribosomal RNA". It matches the Rfam family "Bacterial small subunit ribosomal RNA", at positions 524 to 776 of the family's 1533-position model. The record is from RNAcentral.
UACGAAGGGUGCAAGCGUUACUCGGAAUUACUGGGCGUAAAGCGUGCGUAGGUGGUUUGUUAAGUCUGUUGUGAAAGCCCCGGGCUCAACCUGGGAAUGGCGAUGGAUACUGGCUCGCUAGAGUGCGGUAGAGGAGAGUGGAAUUCCCGGUGUAGCAGUGAAAUGCGUAGAGAUCGGGAGGAACACCAGUGGCGAAGGCGGUUGCCUGGGGCUUUGCUGACGCUGAUGCGCGAAAGCGUGGGGAGCGAUCCGG